Pelobates cultripes (western spadefoot toad) is the source of this 291-nucleotide non-coding RNA. NCBI's taxonomy places the organism in Eukaryota, Metazoa, Chordata, Amphibia, Anura, Pelobatidae. The record is from the annotation of a GenBank genome assembly.
CCUAUGUUUAUCUCAUGCUUUCAUGUAAAUUCAUACACUCUAACAGCAGUGUCUAGUGAAGCAGGAAGUCUAUGGACAGGAUAAAAGGGUGGGCCACUGGCGCAAAUCACGUAACCACAACUGCCGAAAGGGGCGAACAUAUCCAAAAAGGGGGCAUGUCUAUGUCUCCCAAUGUCCCUUAGUGUCUAUGUCACUGUCACUAGGGGACACUGAGAGACAUGGGAACACUGGGUGACUUUGAGAUAGGAAGGGACACUGGGAGCCAUGGGGCACUGAGACACUAUGAUACAU